Molecule: ribosomal RNA, 503 nt
Filed under: uncultured bacterium
Lineage: Bacteria
Description: partial 16S ribosomal RNA
Rfam family: Bacterial small subunit ribosomal RNA
Source: RNAcentral
GACGAACGCUGGCGGCGUGCUUAACACAUGCCAGUCGAACGGUGAAGCGCUUUCCUUUUUGGUUGGUGUGGAUGAGUGGCGAACGGGUGAGUAACACGUGAGUAACCUGCCCCCUUCUUCUGGAUAACCGCAUGAAAGUGUGGCUAAUACGGGAUAUUCUGCGCCUGCUGCAUGGUGGGUGUGGGAAAGAUUGUGCCUUUGGGUGUUUUCGGUGGGGGAUGGGCUCGCGGCCUAUCAGCUUGUUGGUGGGGUGAUGGCCUACCAAGGCGGUGACGGGUAGCCGGCCGGAGAGGGUGGACGGUCACACUGGGACUGAGACACGGCCCAGACUCCUACGGGAGGCAGCAGUGGGGAAUAUUGCACAAUGGGCGCAAGCCUGAUGCAGCGACGCCGCGUGAGGGAGGGAGGCCUUCGGGUUGUGAACCUCUUUCGCCAGUGAAGCAGGCCUGCUCCUUGUGGGUGGGUUGACGGUAGCUGGAUAAGAAGCGCCGGCUAACUACGUG